This 1399-nucleotide ribosomal RNA is filed under the name metagenome. RNAcentral describes it as "SSU rRNA". It matches the Rfam family "Eukaryotic small subunit ribosomal RNA", at positions 333 to 1801 of the family's 1831-position model. The record is from RNAcentral.
GUAUUGGCUUACCGUGCCGAUAACGGGUAACGGGGGAUUAGGGUUCGAUCCCGGAGAGGGAGCUUGAGAUAUGGCUACCACAUCUAAGGAAGGCAGCAGGCGCGCAAAUUACCUAUCCUUGACACAAGGAGGUAGUAAACAGAAAUAAUGACGCAUGAUUCAAAUCGUGCGAUCGGAAUGAGUGGUUUCUAAACAAAACCACGAAAUCGAUUGGAGGAAAAGUCUGGUGCCAGCACCCGCGGUAAUACCAGCUCCAAUAGCGUAUAUUAUUGAUGUUGCAGUUGAAACGUUCGUAGUCGAACUUUUUCUACUUGGUUUCCUUGACGUUACGUAUGUCAAGCGUUACUGCGGUAGAGAGUGAGUUUAAUGGCAGCAUGUUCCAUGUUGUCAUCUUGACUCAUCACUUUGAGUGAAUCGGCGUGUUCCACGCAGGCUUUACGCCAUGUACGAUUUACCAUAGUAUAGCUAGAGUGUGGGAAUACUUCCUCGUCUCUUCGGAGGUAUUUUCGAUACUCAUAAGAACGGUUGAGGGCAUUCGUAUUCAACUGCCAGAGGUGAAAUUCUUUGAUUAGUUGAGGACGAACCAUUGCGAAAGCAUCUGCCAAGGACGUUUCUUUUGAUCAAGAACGAAAGUUAGGUGAUCGAGGAUGAUUAGAUACCGUUGUAGUCCUAACUAUAAACUCUACUAUCCAAGAGUUGGAUUGGUGGCUUUACGCCUCUCCAGUACUUUCUGAGAAAUCAAAGUCUUUGAGUUCUGGGGGGAGUAUAGUUGCAAGGCCGAAACUUAAAGGAAUUGACGGAAGGGCACCACCAGGAGUGGAACUUGCGGCUUAAUUUGACACAACACGGGAAACCUUACGAGGAUAAGACAAACGAAGGAUUGACAGAUUGAUCGCUCUUUCUUGAUUGUUUGGGUGGUGGUGCAUGGCCGUUCUUAGUUCGUGGAUUAGUUUGUCUGGUUAAUUCCGUUAACGAACGAGACUUUAACUUACUAGUUGGCGGAUGUUUUUCGACAUUCUCCUCUAGAAGGACCAUGUGUUUCUAACACAAGGAAGCGUGAAGCAAUAACAGGUCUGUGAUGCCCUUAGAUAUCCUCGGCAGCACGCGUGUUACAAUGAUGCACAGAACAUGUUUCGCCAUUUGAGAGAAUGGUGCAAUCAUCAAAGUGUAUCAACCCAGGGAUUGUUUGUUGUAAUGUCAAGCAUCAACGAGGAAUUCCUAGUAAGCGUGAAUCAUCAAUUCGCGUUGAUUACGUCCCUGCCCUUUGUACACACCGCCUGUCGCAUCUAUUGAUUAGGUUGUAUCAUGAGUUGAGCGGAAGCGUCGAUGCAUCUUUGCAUACGUUGUUGAAGCUCUGCAAAUGGUAUUACCCAGAAACAGAUAAAGUCAUAACACGGCA